AAGGCGAACACGCACUUAAAUCUUCUUAAGUAAAUUACCGAUGAAUUUGUAAAAACCGAGUAAUUUGCCAAAAGGCUAAGUAAUUUAACAAUGAUACAGCCGAACGCGACUCGUUGAUUUAUACUGCGUGCUUCUGUGGUUCUUUUGAACACACAGAGGUCGAAACAGUUUGAACGGCUAAUGUACAAAAGGUUAACGGCGGACAUGGAAAUGUAAACAAUUAACAGACGCCGUUGUUCGCUAUGAUAGAGAGACGCCCCGUAGAACAAUGGCCGUGCGAAGUUUGCCGAUUGAGCGAUAGCACCGGCGUCAACAAAGCCGAAAAUUGCCGAACAAAGCCGUCGGUUACCACCAGUAUAUAAGAAAAACAAACGCAUCGCAAGAAGAAAACCGAAAACAAAAGAACUGAGGCAAAAAUCCCCGAUAUAGUUCUUAUAUGUAAAUUCUUCCAAAAUUAGAACGCCUUAACGAUUCUUCUCCUAAACAACAAAGUCGAAAAUUUAAUAAACGAAGAAAGUUCUGAUAAUUAUGCAUUACUUUACUAUGUAAAACCUGUAUUAAACGCAAUGCGAAAAUUAAUCAAAUUUUUUUUAAAUUUAUCAGUUCGACCUGAAAUCCUGUUAAUACUUCAACAACCACACGUUUUGCGUAGAUCUUAUUGCCAAUCGUCGGCAUUUUUCACUUAGUAUAUCAUUAUUAUUAUUAUAUUUAUUAGUAUAAUUAUGACACUUUUUAAAAAAAUUGCAUUGGAUGCAUCAUUAUUAUUGAAUCUUUGUCGUGUUGACCUAAUUUAUUUUGUGCACUUAUGCAUAUAUGAGUUUAUUUAUUUAUGUUCUGAUUGAUCCAUACAGUUACGGAUAUUAUAAUCAUUUUCUGACUAUUCGCUAUUACUGGAACAUUAGACUUGCAAACUGCCGCUUUUCAGUGCAUUUAGAGAUCAGUUCACUUCAAUAGAACACUUUCGAAUAUAGGAAUCAUUUUUCUAACGUGUAAAUAUCGAUUAAAUAAAAUAAAAAAAUAAAAAGACUGAGGUCAUGAAAAGGUGACGACAGCCAAGAACAGAAGACACAGCGAAAUCACAUUUACGGGACAAUGGCCAUCAAACAUUUCAAAACAUGUUAAAACAGAAUGCAUAUGUUUCUAUGCAUAUGUGAAUCAGAAUCAGAGAGUGAAAUAAAAACAGAUGAAAUAAAAGAAUAUGAAAACUUAUAAAACAGCUUAAGUUAGUUUAGUUUAACUCAAUUUAGUUAAGUUUAACUAAAAAGUUAAAAUGAAUUUAAUGAAUUAAACAAAUGAAUUAAACAAAUCGAAUGCAGAAGAUUCAAUAUAGAUAAAGAGUUUUAAAGUGUUGAAGGAAAUGAAGGGAAGAGAAGUAACAAUAUGAAUAUUUUAUGCAAUGCUUUAUUAACUAUAUAGACCAACAUGAAUAUCUUGCAAAACAGUUUUUGUUUUAGGAAACACUAUUACAAAAAUUUGCAGCUGAUUAAGUAUUAAGACGUUGAAAGCACUGGUCUUUCUAAAGAAUCAUUUUACCAAACAAAGUUAAAACCAAGACGUUUAAAAAUUAUGAAGUUAUAUCCCCUUACGCUCUUUAUAGAUGCAUACUACAUCAUAGAAGUUUUUCUUUUUUAGUAACAAAAACUAAAAUUUUAUCAAACUCAAAUGCAAAAAUGCAUACUUUUUUAAAAGGAGGCAAGAGAGCAGGGAAAAUCAUCAAUGUCAUUCUCUUCUUCAUUACAAAAGGCAAUAUGCUUCUAUCAAAAUUUCAGAUGUUAGUGAUACCGGAGCACCUGAAUAAAGAAGU
Molecule: long non-coding RNA, 1804 nt
Organism: Bombus terrestris (buff-tailed bumblebee)
Lineage: Eukaryota; Metazoa; Arthropoda; Insecta; Hymenoptera; Apidae
Exons: 3
Source: RefSeq, a predicted model, not a curated record